Molecule: ribosomal RNA, 333 nt
Filed under: uncultured eukaryote
Lineage: Eukaryota
Description: partial 18S ribosomal RNA
Rfam family: Eukaryotic small subunit ribosomal RNA
Source: RNAcentral
CCCUUAGAUGUUCUGGGCUGCACGCGCGCUACACUGAUACGCUCAACGAGUUUACGACCUUGCCCGGAAGGGUUGGGUAAUCUUUUUAAAACGCAUCGUGAUGGGGAUAGAUUAUUGCAAUUAUUAAUCUUUAACGAGGAAUUCCUAGUAAGCGCGAGUCAUCAGCUCGUGCUGAUUACGUCCCUGCCCUUUGUACACACCGCCCGUCGCUACUACCGAUUGAACGGUUUAGUGAGGGCCUCGGAUUGGUCUCGGCCCGCUCUUUACCGGGCGGCGCCGUUGGUCGAGAAGACGCUCGAACUUGAUCGUUUAGAGGAAGUAAAAGUCGUAACA